GCUUCCGUCGGUGCAGCGGAAAUUUAGCGAGCACGGUGACGGACAAUAAAAGCACGCGGCGGCUCCCGUAAAAACAGUAAAGCGUAGGCCCGCAUAUUUUCGGUUGGCGAGGACACCUCUCCUGGACCGGCGGCGACAGGAGAAGGACAGCGGAGCCGAGUGAGGAGGGUAGAGUCGAGAGAGGAGGGAGGUUUGGGAUCGGGGCGUGCGGCGGCCAGCGCGCCGAGGCGGAGGAUGAGAGGAGGAGGGGAACUUCGGGCUCGCGCAGACUGGCGCCCCACCGGCCGCCGUUGCCCGCUCGCCCACGCCGACCCGCGCGGCUCGCCCCCGGCCACACCGUCCGCUUGUCGCCGUCGGCCUCCGCUCCGGUUCCCGCCCGCUCGUCGUUCGCGUGCCCCGACCGCUCCGCCGCGCCCGCGCCCGCGCAGACGCCCGUCGUUGCCGUUGUCGCGCGUCGUCGUCCGUCGCCGCUGGCGCUCGCGCGCCCCGACCGCUCCUACGCCGUCGCACCGUCCCGCCGCUCGUUGCCCUUCAUCGUCCUCGAGCGGUGCGCACACCUCGACGCACCUGGUCGCCCAGCUGCGAGGCACGAGAGGGAUGCGGCGUCGUCGGAGAAGCGCAGAGGGGCGGGGACGGCGACGGCCACUGGGGACACGGGGAAGAAGAGGCACGAGCCGGUGGGACGCGGUGACGACGUGGACAGCGAAGAGCGAGGCGGAGAUCUGACCCGUACACCUCGCGCCGCGACAGCGGUAACAGGAACUGCAUGCUCCUCGCGACCGACGUCUCUUCCGGUAGGUGCCACGGCAGCGGGGUGUUGUCUCUUCCAGCUCUUCCUAAGACCCACCAAACCGGAUAGGGAAUACGAAAAGGAAAAAGGGAAAAGCUAAAUGCGAAACGACGAGAAGCUAAACUAGGUAAUAUCACAACAUCGACGUUCACAACCUGACCAGCAAGGAGAUUGGCCUCCGGAACGCUACCAAGACAACCCAAGUCCAUUUUGGGCCGUUACUUGAAACCUCAAUCAUAGGAGUUCAAUGAAAAAUUGACGUAAUGAUCUGUCGCCAACCGAAAGUCAAUGGUCCGAAAAGUCCAAAACGACGACAAUUAACAUAAACCAUUCAACGGAGAGUAACACGAACAACAGCCUUGGUCGUUGUCGUCUUCGAACGGACGACGGGAUGGAGAAGUCGUUAGACUACCUAAAUGUCCGAACAAACAAAGUAACCACCGAACGACGAGCCCAAGAAACAACUAAAACAACCUACACACACAACAAAUGGUUGUUCCUCGAAGUAUUCCCAACGAGUGGUUACUUGAUCUUCUAACAAAACAGGACCCGUGAGUGUGCUAAUUCCUUCUUUAACCAAUAAGGACCUACACGAUACGUCUAGUUUCCGUUGACCUUCCUCUUACGUGUAGAGAACAGUAAUACAACAUGUUCGAGUACACCUUAAGUUAAAAUCCAACAAACUAUACCACGUUCCCGUACGGGAUUUACUCUCUUUCUUGGUUGUGUUCCCCUCCUCGUCCCCAGUUUGUUGGCUAUAGAACCGUUAGUGAGAUAAAGACUGAAAGAUACAAUAACAAAAGUAAGCAAUACUCCUUCCCCUAUUGGUAGACUAAGCCUAUAUGUUUUAACACAUAAUUUGGUAAAUUAGUAUAACUGGAUGACCUGAUAAUGGAACACACUUCAACGAAUGGUACCCGGAGAUAAGGAUAUCAUCUGAAGAUUAAAGUACUACGAUGACUCAAAUGUUAACUUCAACGAAUGGUACCCGGACAUAACGAAAAGAUUAAAGUAGUUAACUCAUGAAACUACAAAGUCUCAAAUAUGGUACUCACGUAGACGUCGUUAAACCAUAGACCAAAAAUAAAGUAAAAGAAUGUUAAGUGUUAUUCGGAAGAGCUUAUUUAGUGUCACACUGGAUUAGAAUGCACUAACCUACAGCGGAUUCAUACGAAGGACGAUAAAAAAUGUGAUAACAAUUGCGGUUUGACAACAGUACUGAAUGACCACUUUAAAUCUUCACUAUAUAGACGCGUAUAUAUGCCCAUAAAUUGUAUUGUACUAGACGUACAAGACUUAGACGUCAAGACGUGAUACGAAACGACCUACAGCGGAUUCGUCUCCUACGCCGUCAGAACCGGUGUAAACCAAAAGUAUUCGAUUAUACCCAAAGAAAGGGAAAAUAAGAACGUUCUAUACCAAGAAACAACCAAGUAAGCUGGUACGACAAUUGGUUGUUCCGGAGACUAGGACAGACAUCACACGCCGAUCCAACAAGGAGGCGGACCCAGCAUCGAAGAAAGGAAAGACGGCUACCGUCCAUGUUCUGAGCUCGUUACCAAUUGCCCGUUCGUGAUAUAUGUGGUAAGUAGAUACGAUUAUAUUAGGCAGAAAAUUUCGGUUACAUACGAUAGUGGUUCACUAGACUUAUAAAACAAAGUUCGUAGUUCGAAAGUACAUUACCUUAUAUUCAUAGAAAUUCAACUAAGAUUUAGUUAGAGUAUGUGUACGAAACUUACGAACCGAGCGAGAACGAAAAACACGGUACCAGUUUGUACCUCGCUACUGAGACAGAUUACAAAUAGUGAAGUAUCGCGGAUAUACACUGAUAGAUGAAAGAAACGAUUAUUGUAACAUUUAUUAAUUAGCAUUCGAAGAAUCUUGUGAUUCAUGGUAGUGAUUCGUAGAUAGAUGGUCGUUAUCCAUGAAUAAAAGUAUACAAAGUUAUACACGGGCUUAUUAUAAUUACAUGUGAGAAAGUUAUGUACCGUAUGAGAGCCAGAAACGCGGUAACCGCGUUGGUCAGUGGAUCAUCAUCAGCUCCCUCUAUCGAGUAGCUUUCUACUGCGUAGUCUUCUUAAGUGUUCUACACCUGCUGAUCAAAUCAUUUCUUCUCCUACUCCUACCCCUACUUAGUGGACCCUUCGGAAUCCCCUGCUUGCUCCAACCCUUCGGCGUCUACUGCUAUUGCACGCCAGAUGUUGUCAGCAUGUCCUUCUGUGUAACCUUACCUACCUGUUCCCGUUAUGUACUCAUUAUCCACAUAGCCGUUUUCGGUCCUUUCUUUACAGGAGUUACUCUCUCCGGCUUCCUCUCUUAACUGCACCUAUCUUUCCUGCUCCGAGUAGUUUUCAGCGUGGGGCUCUUUACGAAUAGGCGGCUAGCUAUGCUAGGGUUGUGACUAUCAGGAACACGAGUAGUCGCAUUGGAUUCUUCUUUGUAAGUUAUAUGAUUCGUUGGUCAAACUCCCCCGUUCUUGUAUAAUUAGCGUUGUUUUGUUUCCUUCGCAACACAUCGGUACUCUUGCUGGUUUUUCUGUGAGCUCUCCUUAUAUCGGGAUGUUUCGUUCCUUCCAACCAACAACUAGUCCAUCCACCUACAUCUUUAUUGGAGUUGGGUUUUCACUGGAUUCUUCUGUGUAAGUUAUAUGAUUCGUCAGUCAAACUCCCCGUUCUUCUUACAUAAUUUGCUUUGUUUUGUUUGCUUCGUGACUCAUCGGUACUCUUGCUGGUUUUUCUGUGAGCUCUCCUUAUAGUGGGACGUUUCGUUCCUUCCUAUUGACAACUAGUCCAUCCACCUACAUCUUUGUUGGAGUUGGGUUUUCACUCCACCUUCUCUACGCAACUAGAAGUUACGUGUUCGACGGAGUUCUUCCACUGCUACGAAUCGUUUGUUAAGACUAGUAUUCUGGUACUGUUCUCUUGACUCUUUCACGCGGGACGUUCCUUAGGCGAAUUAUUUACUAACUAUUUGAGUGUACGUUUUAGACGUACCUUCUGUGUCCUUCCUCACCUUUUGGCCCAUACUUCGUACCGCCGUUUGAAGAAUGACUAUUCUGGAGCGAUCUUCUUUUCGUAUUUUAUAUAGGUACACACAAGCUCUCUUUAGUAUAUAUUUCUACUAUAUCAUCACUAAAGGAGGAAAACUCCGUUUCCCUGGACCUGGGGUUUGUAGCUUCACUUGUAGAACACUUAAGAAAACUACGCAGUAGAAAGCUACUCGAUAGAAAUGAUACUCCCGCUACUCUGUGUUAGAGUGAUACUCCUAUUACAUUGAAUUGGACAAACGAUUCGACUGUUUGACUGUCGGAUUUCUGUGUGGCGGUCUCUGUCUAGGUUCUUCUGGUGCAGCUUGAUUCCUACUCUCUGAUCUCGGUGUGUUCACUGGUUCUGUUACUAAGAUUUUCUUGACCAUUUCUUUCAUUGGUCCCGUCUCUCUGACCGCCGCCACCGUCCUUUCCCUUCCAAUUCGGUCUAUUCGUGGAUCUCCUGGACCCUUAAUAUUGCAGCUCCCGGUUGUGGUUCAUCUCGUAGGCACAUUCCUGAGAUUAGUCUUGUACUUGUACUCUUAGACCUCCAGCUUACCGACUGUUUGACCUUCUUAGUAUUCAAUAUACUUUUAUGUAGGUCAUGGUUCCUAGGUACCUCUACAUGGACCAACACAUUUUUCAGCAGUGAGCCAUGUUCUUUUUAAAUGGAAUAUUUCCUACUUCCCCAACAAUCAGUGCUGGUUCGGUAGGUGCAGCCGAUACUUGUGAAUCGUUCGCCCGUCGCUCGCGCUCGUCCAUCGCUCUCUUUUUCCCAUGUGCACGCGACGCUCUCUUUUAUAGAGCAGAGAGAGGGCUCGCCCGUCGCUCUCUUUUUCCCAUGUGCAGGCGACGCUCUCUUUUAUAGAGCAGAGAGAGGGAGGAGGGAAGGGCAGCGGAGGAGGAGAAGGGGUAGGGAGUGCCGGAGGAGCGGGGGAGGCGGAAGUCGUGGAGAAGGAGGGGAAGGAGAGGAGGAAGGGACGGAGGCCAAGGUCCGUACCUCCCUACUUGGGCCUCUCGACAUCGGCCACCUACGGCGCUGCAUGCCCCUCCGCUACCGCUUCCCCUCAAAGCCAGUUCACCUUAGACUACCCAACGUCCCGCUCCUCGUCCCUCAUCGGACCGCAUCUAUGUCUUAUAGCCGGAGAGGGGUGCUGGGUGGAGAGGGUGGUCUCGUGUUGAUCCAACUGGAGACGGAGGGAAAACUAACGUUAAGGAACACACUCGAGGAGGGAGAUUAAGUACAGGAGGAUUAAUUAAAAAAGUCAGUAGAUCCCAAACCUACCCAGACCCAAGGAUGUUGCUACCGUCGUCUCCGCUGUUUCUGGUGAAACGUUGGAGCGGCUUGACACAAUGACUUGACUUUCAAAUCCCUGCCGUCAUCAAGAUGGUGGCUACCACAACGUACAUUCGACCUACAAGAGUAACAAGACAACCGAGACUAGCCACUACGUCCUACACACUCCAUGUUGAUAGUUUCACUGUAAUUAAAACCAAAACGAAGGAUAGACGUCGGAGAAGAUGUGAUCUUUUCCUUUUGUGAGCUGCUAGACCGAGACAGAGUCCAUAUACGAGGGAGCGGGCGUUCUAGGCGAGAGAGGGUAGAUACGUAGUGCCGUCGUGAAGUCGAGGAGAACACCUAAGAGUGGUCUAGUCCGGUGGAGUGAGUGGAAGUCAACAGUCCUGGAGUGGCCGUCUAGGGAGUCGAUAGUCCCUUUCGUCGGUAGUCGCCUCUAACUCCCACGGAGAGGCCGUUCUCACGAGCACAGCACCACCAAAGGGUGGUCGUCGUACCCCCUCCGCCACAGGAGACGUCGAUCCAGAUGAACGACCGCUGGAGUGGCAGUGGUCGGGUAGACGUCAGAUACGACCUACGAGCAGUCACUCGGACAGUUGUCCUUUCCCUCUCCCAUCUUCAACUCGCUUGGGUACCUAACUUACUCCAAAGUCACCACAGCUUAGCGUGGUACUAGUCUAUGUACGACACUUUAGUAUAAAACGCACCCCCGCGGUUGUUCGGACGGCUGUCGUUACAGUGAAGGUCUCAAGGUCACCGACAUCGUCGGUUCUUCCUUGAUGGAUAACGGCCGCCCCGAGUUCGCCACAGUGAAAGUCACCGAUAUCGUCGGUUUUUUUGGUUUUGGGGAGAUAUAAGACUACCGUUUAGACAUUCGUAGAGUGAUUACUUUCUCGAAUAGUGGUACUGCACAUGCACACGCAAAAUUUUUACACUCCGAUUCCAGUUGGUAGUUGGGUUUUACAAAGAGACAGUGAUUGGUGGACUUUAAAUACAUGUUGAAAAGUCAAAAAUAACUAACUAACUACCGAAACAAGAACUGUCAGGAAAUGCUUAGAUGAGACGAAAACACCUAUCCGCUUUUUCUAACAAAAAAUCAUAAAAAAGAAGUCAUCUAAUAACUUGCUCCAAAGUCUCGUCUAACUCUCUUUUUCUCUUUACAAUCAAGUACGAAGUCAUGUAAUAAAAAGAAGUAAUGAGAAAAGUUAUAAAGAACGAAGUCAUGUAAUAAAAAGAGAAUGAUGUAAAGAAACAAGAAAAGUAAGGCUUUUCCGAUGGAAUCAUCGUGUUGAUGCGAAAAAAAAGGAAAAGUCGAGAGUUUGACGUCGGAUCAAAACAACAAUCAAGAGACAAAAACUACCUAGACUAUACCAAUCGGGAUAGAUCAAAAAGACAUACACGAUGCGGGUCAAUAUUGAUGAAGGUAGAAAAUUGUCGACAGGAUCAAAACAACGAGUGGCCGACUGUGGAAGAAAAAGAAAAAGAGAAAAAUAGUCUACAUACUUAACGUGCACCGUAGUGUAUUUAAUGGUAAGCUCUAUUCAAGGUCAGACGUCUAGAGCCCCCUGUCAUACCGACCUUAUGCGAACCAUUGUCCCUCGUAAUGGUGACGACACAUCAUUCUGGCUUAGUUUAAAUUCCCUCACUUAACGUUUUUUGGUGGUGUAACUUCGGAUCCCAACGUUUUUUCUGAGAAGAUGCAAAAACACGGUCUUUUGUGACUAAAGCGCGUAUUAGUAAACGUCUUUUGUGGUUUGGUGGUUUGGAAGACAACCCCGUAAAAUUCGUGAUAAUACUGUCCACCCCGGGCUAAAACCCCUGCACCGCAGUACCGGCACUCGAGUGCGGCAGAUUGCCGCACCGCCGGCGAUGACGAGGCCGCACACCCAUUUUUGUUCAAGCUAGGUCGAGAGAGGAGUGUGAGAGUGGAGACGGAGCGGGAGAGGAGUGAGACAAGAAGGAGGGGCCGCGGCGGUCUGGCGGCUGGCAGCAAGACGACGAGGGGCCACGGUACCACAGCACCUCGUUGCUCUGGUCACUCCUAAGUCAGGACUUGUAGAGGAGGAGGACACUACCGUAGUAGUUCGAAGGUCGAUACUACGUGCUAGGCUUAAAGUUACCAUGACUGUGUUUACACUUACACAACACACUUGUGCCACUCGGCCGGCUUGCAAAACAUCGUAAACUUACCUACGUGUGCCCGUCCUCCAAAUAACCUACACGAUUCUUCCUUCCGUAUUUGACACCUCAUCAAGUUACCUAACUAAAACUUACCGGUCUGAGUUACCUCCUCCGUAACCGGUUCGAUACCCUAUACAUACUCCUCUGGUUCAGUCGAUCCUGGUUACUGUUAGAUCUCUCAAGGCAACGUUAAGUGUUGGACUGUCUUCUCUUCUUCUUUGAUAUCCUCUUGAUACUGUCAAACAUACGACUACACUUACGAGAAAACUUACGAAUCGUUCUCUCCACACACCUCAAUUGGUUAGUUUUCCUCGUCUUCGUUAUAGAACUUCACUUGUAACGACUCGAACUUUGACAUCAACCGUUGAACUUCCGUCUCAACAGUUUCUUUCUCCUCCUCUUCUUCUUUGAGUUCCUCUUGAUACAGUCAAACAUACGACUACACUUAAGGGAGAACCUACGGGUCGUCGUCUCCCCACACCUCAAUUUGUUAGUCUUCCUCGUCUUCCUUAUACAACUACACUUCUAACAACUCGAACUCUGACAUCACCCCUUGAACUUCCGUCUCGACAGUUUCUGUCUCCUCCUCUUCUUCUUCUACGACGAUUUGAUACUUUGAGACUUCUUGGACUGUACACGAGUUCGGUUACACUAAUCCUUGAACUUCAAGUUAGUAAACUUCCUCCUCUCCGAGUGUUUUCUCUUCGAAUUUGACGUCAUAGUGUAAAGACUCGAUGUUUUCAGACUCCUUUUCUAUUUCAAUUUCGAAGUCCCACACUUCCGGUAGAAUCUACUCAUCCCACGGAAGAUCAUACUAUUAGUAGAUGGUCAAAUAUCUACUAUUAGAAGAUAGGUCAUGAAUUCAUACUUGAACACUGUGUUCAUGAAGUCACUACUUAAACACUAGAUACCACAACCUAGGUCG
RNAcentral lists this ribosomal RNA (8218 nucleotides) under Triticum aestivum (bread wheat). Its description in RNAcentral is "partial small subunit ribosomal RNA". The record is from RNAcentral. Lineage: Eukaryota; Viridiplantae; Streptophyta; Magnoliopsida; Poales; Poaceae.